This 102-nucleotide non-coding RNA is filed under the name Vibrio genomosp. F6 str. FF-238. RNAcentral describes it as "Translational regulator of tfoXVC". It matches the Rfam family "Translational regulator of tfoXVC". RNAcentral also lists the same sequence under 1 other name. The record is from Rfam by way of RNAcentral. Lineage: Bacteria; Pseudomonadati; Pseudomonadota; Gammaproteobacteria; Vibrionales; Vibrionaceae.
AUUCCAGAAGUGAUAUGGGUAUCCCAUAUCCCUCAGGCAGCAAGCGAAGGUGUCAUUGGCACCCGUGGCAUAGUCCCCCCGACCAUGCCACGAUCUUUUUUU